Molecule: ribosomal RNA, 454 nt
Filed under: Streptococcus sp. oral taxon 066
Lineage: Bacteria; Bacillati; Bacillota; Bacilli; Lactobacillales; Streptococcaceae
Description: bacterial SSU rRNA
Rfam family: Bacterial small subunit ribosomal RNA
Source: RNAcentral
GAUGAACGCUGGCGGCGUGCCUAAUACAUGCAAGUAGAACGCUGAAGCUUGGUGCUUGCACCGAGCGGAUGAGUUGCGAACGGGUGAGUAACGCGUAGGUAACCUGCCUGGUAGCGGGGGAUAACUAUUGGAAACGAUAGCUAAUACCGCAUAACAGUCGACAUUGCAUGAUGUUGAUUUGAAAGGGGCAAAUGCUCCACUACCAGAUGGACCUGCGUUGUAUUAGCUAGUUGGUGAGGUAACGGCUCACCAAGGCGACGAUACAUAGCCGACCUGAGAGGGUGAUCGGCCACACUGGGACUGAGACACGGCCCAGACUCCUACGGGAGGCAGCAGUAGGGAAUCUUCGGCAAUGGACGGAAGUCUGACCGAGCAACGCCGCGUGAGUGAAGAAGGUUUUCGGAUCGUAAAGCUCUGUUGUAAGAGAAGAACGAGUGUGAGAGUGGAAAGUUCA